Molecule: ribosomal RNA, 451 nt
Filed under: uncultured organism
Description: partial 16S ribosomal RNA
Rfam family: Bacterial small subunit ribosomal RNA
Source: RNAcentral
UACACUCCUACGGGAGGCAGCAGUGGGGAAUAUUGGACAAUGGGCGCAAGCCUGAUCCAGCCAUGCCGCGUGAGUGAUGAAGGCCCUAGGGUUGUAAAGCUCUUUCACCGGUGAAGAUAAUGACGGUAACCGGAGAAGAAGCCCCGGCUAACUUCGUGCCAGCAGCCGCGGUAAUAAGAAGGGGGCUAGCGUUGUUCGGAUUUACUGGGCGUAAAGCGCACGUAGGCGGACUAUUAAGUCAGGGGUGAAAUCCCGGGGCUCAACCCCGGAACUGCCUUUGAUACUGGUAGUCUUGAGUUCGAGAGAGGUGAGUGGAAUUCCGAGUGUAGAGGUGAAAUUCGUAGAUAUUCGGAGGAACACCAGUGGCGAAGGCGGCUCACUGGCUCGAUACUGACGCUGAGGUGCGAAAGCGUGGGGAGCAAACAGGAUUAGAAACCCUUGUAGUCCCAUG